UAGCUCAGACAGUAAGGGUGUCUGGUUCCUGACCAGAAGGUCCUGGGUUCAAUCCCAG
This 58-nucleotide transfer RNA is filed under the name Lepisosteus oculatus (spotted gar). It matches the Rfam family "tRNA", at positions 8 to 63 of the family's 71-position model. Rfam says of the family: Transfer RNA (tRNA) molecules are approximately 80 nucleotides in length. Their secondary structure includes four short double-helical elements and three loops (D, anti-codon, and T loops). Lineage: Eukaryota; Metazoa; Chordata; Actinopteri; Semionotiformes; Lepisosteidae. The record is from Rfam by way of RNAcentral.